RNAcentral lists this long non-coding RNA (747 nucleotides) under Homo sapiens (human). Its description in RNAcentral is "HSALNT0347466". The record is from RNAcentral. Lineage: Eukaryota; Metazoa; Chordata; Mammalia; Primates; Hominidae.
GAGGCCCUCUUGGACAACACUUCCUCUCCUGCCCAUGGUGGGAGGUUGGGAAGGACAUUCCCCCAUUUCCAUUUGCUCUGCCAUUCAAAACCUUGUGAGGGCCCUCAGGGAAGAAUCCCUUUGCAGAUGAGGAAACUGAGGCCCCACGUGGUGAAGACAAUUUUUACCCGAAUCCACCCACAACAAGAGACCAUUUGGAUAAUGUACAUUAUGGGAAGAGAACAGAGUCUCAGUGAAGAUCAUGUUUCCCCAGCAACACAGGUGCCAGGAGUAGCUGGCUCUGGUCCCAGCCCAGACUCAGAAAUCCUGAGCCACCAGACCAUUUCUAGAUUAACAAAGGCCUGCAUUAAUUUGAUUUCAGUGACCCACUGGAAACCAGUGUCAGCAUAACAACAGUUACGAGAGCUAAACCUACAAAAUAGAAACACAAGUAAAACUUGUUCAAGUGGUUUGCAGUCAUUGAACAUAGAUCAGCUCCUAUGAAAACAAACUCCAUGGGUUUUCUUUGAUGGCAGUUCUGCUCUAAAGAUGGAUAAGGAAGGAGGUUCCAAGAUGGCCGAAUAGGAACAGCUCCAGUCUACAGCUCCCAGCAUGAGCAACGCAGAAGACAGGGGAUUUCUGCAUUUCCAAUUGAGAACACAGGAGCUAUGUGGAGAGUUGAUGGAGGGACAUUCCAGGCAGAGAGAACAGCAAACACAAAGGCCUUGAAGGGAGCGGUGGCUUACAUCUGCAAUCCCACCACUUUGG